AUUGAACGCUGGCGGCAGGCUUAACACAUGCAAGUCGAGCGAGCGGCGGACGGGUGAGUAAUGUCUGGGAAACUGCCCGAUAGAGGGGGAUAACUACUGGAAACGGUAGCUAAUACCGCAUACCAUCAGAUGUGCCCAUAUGGGAUUAGCUAGUAGGUGGGGUAAUGGCUCACCUAGGCGACGAUCCCUAGCUGGUCUGAGAGGAUGACCAGCCACACUGGAACUGAGACACGGCCCAGACUCCUACGGGAGGCAGCAGUGGGGAAUAUUGCACAAUGGGCGCAAGCCUGAUGCAGGCAUGCCGCGUGUGUGAAGAAGGCCUUAGGGUUGUAAAGUACUUUCAGCGGGGAGGCGUUACCCGCAGAAGAAGCACCGGCUAACUCCGUGCCAGCCGCCGCGGUAAUUC
RNAcentral lists this ribosomal RNA (406 nucleotides) under uncultured bacterium. Its description in RNAcentral is "partial 16S ribosomal RNA". It matches the Rfam family "Bacterial small subunit ribosomal RNA", at positions 30 to 526 of the family's 1533-position model. The record is from RNAcentral.